Molecule: RNA transcript, 503 nt
Organism: Helicoverpa armigera (cotton bollworm)
Lineage: Eukaryota; Metazoa; Arthropoda; Insecta; Lepidoptera; Noctuidae
Exons: 3
Source: RefSeq, a predicted model, not a curated record
CGGGGUGCUACAGUCGUCAUAAGAUCAGCUUUUAUGCUGAUAAAAAUGAGCGUAAAGCAGAGAGAAACGCUAUACGAGCGUUAAGCGGGGCUCUUGACCUUCCGGACAACGAGUUUGUUCAGAAUUAUAAAAUGUCCAAGGAGAUGGUGCAGUAUUUGUGCCAGGAAUUAGGUGAGGAUCUGUCUCCUAGGACAUCUCAGGGUCUGCCUGUUCCGAUCAAAGUUCAUUGUUCGGUUAAAGUCCUGCUUUCAGGACAUUAUCAACGAGGCACUGGUAACGAGCAAAAUCUGGCCAAACCACCGUCAGCAAAUUUUUAAAACAAUUUGUUGUUGCAGUAAAUACGAGAUUGAAACCACAGUGGAUAGUGUUCCCAAAUACAGAGACAGGAAGGCAGACGGUAGCAUCUGUCUACCUUACAAAGUUUGGCCUUCCUGAUGUAUUGGGAGCAAUUGACUGCACCCAUGUGAAGCUAUUUCCACCUCCAAAGCCACAUCAAGCCCAAU